Molecule: unclassified non-coding RNA, 332 nt
Filed under: soil metagenome
Description: partial contains 5.8S ribosomal RNA, internal transcribed spacer 2, and large subunit ribosomal RNA
Rfam family: 5.8S ribosomal RNA (bases 1-120)
Source: RNAcentral
GAUGAAGAACGCAGCAAAAUGCGAUAAGUAAUGUGAAUUGCAGAAUUCAGUGAAUCAUCGAAUCUUUGAACGCACAUUGCGCCCGCCAGUAUUCUGGCGGGCAUGCCUGUUCGAGCGUCAUUUCAACCCUCAAGCACAGCUUGGUGUUGGGACUCGCGUUAAUUCGCGUUCCUCAAAUUGAUUGGCGGUCACGUCGAGCUUCCAUAGCGUAGUAGUAAAUCCCUCGUUACUGGUAAUCGUCGCGGCCACGCCGUUAAACCCCAACUUCUGAAUGUUGACCUCGGAUCAGGUAGGAAUACCCGCUGAACUUAAGCAUAUCAAUAAGCGGAGGA